UCAUUUUUCUUAGCCAUUUUAAAGUGACCAUAAUAAACAAAAUUCUAACGCACAUUACCCCAUAAAAUUAGAGCACAUAUCUAAACAGAAAGCAUGCAUAUCCAAACACUUUGACAAAGAUACGAUCAUCGAAACCAAAUGUGCGGCUGAUUGGGUGUUUGUGGAGAUUGAAAAUAGAUGACGUGACAUAUGAGCCUAGCCCA
This 203-nucleotide long non-coding RNA is filed under the name Elaeis guineensis (African oil palm). RNAcentral describes it as "long non-coding RNA (EGUI_LNC048748)". The record is from RNAcentral. Lineage: Eukaryota; Viridiplantae; Streptophyta; Magnoliopsida; Arecales; Arecaceae.